GACGUAGGGUGCGAGCGUUGUCCGGAUUUAUUGGGCGUAAAGAGCUCGUAGGCGGUCUGUCGCGUCGGAUGUGAAAAUCCAGGGCUCAACCCUGGACCUGCAUUCGAUACGGGCAGACUAGAGUUCGGUAGGGGAGACUGGAAUUCCUGGUGUAGCGGUGAAAUGCGCAGAUAUCAGGAGGAACACCGGUGGCGAAGGCGGGUCUCUGGGCCGAAACUGACGCUGAGGAGCGAAAGCGUGGGGAGCAAACAGG
RNAcentral lists this ribosomal RNA (253 nucleotides) under uncultured bacterium. Its description in RNAcentral is "partial 16S ribosomal RNA". It matches the Rfam family "Bacterial small subunit ribosomal RNA", at positions 524 to 776 of the family's 1533-position model. The record is from RNAcentral.